Molecule: microRNA precursor, 102 nt
Filed under: Marmota monax (woodchuck)
Lineage: Eukaryota; Metazoa; Chordata; Mammalia; Rodentia; Sciuridae
Source: RNAcentral
AGGUGGGUCACCUGGUGAUUUUGUUAAAAUGCAGAUUCUGGUUCAGUGAGCCUGGGCAGGGCCUGGGAAUCUGCAUUUUCACGAGUUUCCAGAGAUGCCGAG